This 253-nucleotide ribosomal RNA is filed under the name uncultured bacterium. RNAcentral's name for it is "partial 16S ribosomal RNA". It matches the Rfam family "Bacterial small subunit ribosomal RNA", at positions 524 to 776 of the family's 1533-position model. The record is from RNAcentral.
UACGGAGGGCUCAAGCGUUGUUCGGAUUCAUUGGGCGUAAAGGGCGCGUAGGUGGCGCGCUAAGUCAGGUGUGAAAUUUCGGAGCUUAACUCCGAAACUGCAUUUGAUACUGGCGUGCUUGAGGACUGGAGAGGAGACUGGAAUUCAUGGUGUAGCGGUGAAAUGCGCAGAUAUCAGGAGGAACACCGGUGGCGAAGGCGGGUCUCUGGGCCGAUACUGACGCUGAGGAGCGAAAGCGUGGGGAGCGAACAGG